AACACGUGAGUAACCUGCCCCUGACUCUGGGAUAAGCCUGGGAAACUGGGUCUAAUACCGGAUACGACCAUCUGGCGCAUGUCAUGGUGGUGGAAAGCUUUUGUGGUUUUGGAUGGACUCGCGGCCUAUCAGCUUGUUGGUGGGGUAAUGGCCUACCAAGGCGACGACGGGUAGCCGGCCUGAGAGGGUGACCGGCCACACUGGGACUGAGACACGGCCCAGACUCCUACGGGAGGCAGCAGUGGGGAAUAUUGCACAAUGGGCGCAAGCCUGAUGCAGCGACGCCGCGUGAGGGAUGACGGCCUUCGGGUUGUAAACCUCUUUCAGUAGGGAAGAAGCGAAAGUGACGGUACCUGCAGAAGAAGCGCCGGCUAACUACGUGCCAGCAGCCGCGGUAAUACGUAGGGCGCAAGCGUUAUCCGGAAUUAUUGGGCGUAAAGAGCUCGUAGGCGGUUUGUCGCGUCUGCUGUGAAAGACCGGGGCUCAACUCCGGUUCUGCAGUGGGUACGGGCAGACUAGAGUGCAGUAGGGGAGACUGGAAUUCCUGGUGUAGCGGUGAAAUGCGCAGAUAUCAGGAGG
RNAcentral lists this ribosomal RNA (579 nucleotides) under uncultured bacterium. Its description in RNAcentral is "bacterial SSU rRNA". It matches the Rfam family "Bacterial small subunit ribosomal RNA", at positions 112 to 704 of the family's 1533-position model. The record is from RNAcentral.